AUUUUAUGAUUAGAGAGGGUCUUUCAUCCUUACUUCAGUGAAAGUUAUUGUUUUUAAUCUUAUAAUUUCGAAAUUCUCCGAAACAGUUGUGACACCUGUUUUACUUCAUACAACAAAGUACUUGUAGGUUUAUUUUUAUUCAUUUCUAUUAUGUCAGCCGACAAAGUGGUUUGUGUGAAAUUUUCUUAUCAUUUCCUUUUCGUCCAUUGUCCGUCGUGAUUUUUUUUAAAGAUCUCCUCCGUAACCGGUUUCUUUGCUAAAAAAAGUGACGAGACAUUUUCACUUUUUGUGAUGAAGGUCGUAUAUUGACCUUUAACUGCUUACAUUUACUACACUAAACUCUGGUGCAUAAUUGUCUCAUUGGCAAUGAUAUCACAUCGCGAUAGUUUAAUGUACAUAUUGUACAUGAUGUACAGCAAAGAUAAAUUUUCGCCUGAUACGGACGGACGAACGGACGAUCUGACGGACAGACUAAAUAACGACCGACCGAAGGACUAGCGAAUAGAUGAACAAUUGCACAAGUCAUGUCGUUCUUGACUGUCCAUGGCGUUAAAGGACUAAAGACGUGGUGUAGUGGUUAGUGCAUCGGACUACUAACACAAAGGUUCCUGAUUCGAUUCCCGUCUGGGAUGAAAAUUUCAGGGACUGAAUUUUCGGCUCUCCCUUGACACCAUUUGCGAGUAUGGUCUUGAGGAAACGAUGAUAGUCCGUCGGAAGGGGACGAUAAAUGGCUGACCCGUGUUAGAGAGAGCCAUAUCUCUUGCACGUUAAAGACACCCUUGUAGAUUUCGAAAAAAGAGCAGGCUAAUGCCGCUACAAGGCAGCACUCGCACCCGCAAAGUGGAAAGGGAUUAAUAUAAGUUGCAAAACUUGUUUCCCAAUCCACUAUAAAUAAAUAUGUUUAAACUAAACUAAAAAAGGACUAAAUCCCUGGGAUGUGUUUAAAUUGAUUCUUGUCCCUGAUGCAUGAUUUUUUAUUAUUAAUUGUUUUUCGCUUUUAACUAGCUUUCAGUAAUUGCAAGUACUCUCAAAUCGUACCUUCAUGUUAAUUUGACCUGAUUACACAAUUUGUAAUGCAUUUCUGUAAUCCAAUGUUUACUUAUUUUUUGUUAUAACGCGUCUAACUAUUUUAAAUAUGUACCACGUUUGAUAAAUAUUUAUUAUGACGAUAAAUUUUCACUUCUGUACUUGUACUGUUAACAACAAAUUAUUUUUGUAAAAUUGUAAUCCGUUCUCAUAACAACAAAAUUAUUUACCUGUGUACGUUGUUCAAUGCCAUUUUGUCCCAGGUUAAAGUUGUCUUUUUGACACGGUUCCCACAUCUCUUUUUCAUAUAUAUUGUAUUUAUAUUGUGUCAUAGAUCAAACUUAUUCGUUCAGUGUAUGUUUACUUGUUUUUGUUUAAAUCUCUUUUUGAUUGACUCAUGAGUUAAGACAUUUUAAUUGAUAUUUAAUAGUGUGUCUUUUUAUGUUGUAAUGUAACACUACUGUCCAAGGUUGGGGUUAAGGUUGGUCGGUUAAAACGAUUAAACCCGCUGCGUUUUCUUUCCUCUAUCCUAAGUCCGGAGACUGUUGUUCAGUGGUUGUCGUUUGUUGGUGUGGUUCAUAAGUGUUUCUCGUUCCUCUUUUUUUUUAUAGAUUAGACCGGUGGUUUCCCUGUUUGAAUUGUUUCACAUUAGUCAUUUUGGGAUCCUUUAUAGCUUGCUGUUUAGUGUGAGCCAAUACUCCCCGUUAAAGGCCGUACUUUGACCUAAAAUUGUUAACUUUUCAUUCAUUAUGCCUUGGAUUGAGAGUUGUCUCAACGGCACUCAUACCACAUCUUCUUAUUCAAAACUAUCGUACAUCGUCAACAAGUACAGGCUACCAAAAGACAAAAGCGGUUUAUAGAAAUGGAAUAUGAUCAAACUAGAAUAAACCUGGAUCGCUAACUAGACAAAUUCACCUCAUUUAUCAAAAGAAAUUCAAUUUUGACAAAAGCUGCUGUUUGUAUUGCCUUCUCUGUCCUCAAACUACCAAAACAUUUCACCUUUUAGUUGCAGAAGAGAAGAGUUUUGAAAAUUGGUAAAUUAGAACAUACGUCUUUCUGGUAAAAACGUCUUACCAAAAACACCAAACUCCAAGGUAAGUUCAUAGAGUCCAUAAAUGCGGACAAUAUGCAACGCUCGACUAUAUCAAAUCUUCCAAUCAGCAGUCCUCUACUGUUUCCGAACAAUCUGCGAUGCAAUUUUAAAAUUUUUUUUUUACAUUGGCCAAACAAAAUAAAGAUUGCCGCGGGCAUCAUUUUUUGAUAGAAGCAACUCACAGGUGAUUUCUUAAAAAUGGCAGUAGAAUCAACAUCUUUUCUUUCUGCAGCCAAGCUUUACAAAUAGGCAAAACAAAGUGAAAAUUUUAGGGAUUGUGGGUCCGCGGGAUUGUUCAACUUUGUACUUUAUUUGACCAUUUUAACUUUUUUUAUUCGAGCGUCACUGAUACGUCUAUUGUAGACGAGACGUAGUACACAAUUUAAAUUCUGGUAUCUAUGAUGAGUUUAUCUAUAUCAUUUAUAUAAGGUUUCAUAAAAAUUGUCGAAGUACAAGUGCAAAAAUGUAGAGUCUCACAGAAUACGAGUUAACGUUGGAUCAACAUCUUUGCGCAACAGAUGACACAAAUGUUGUCAUUCCCUUAACUUGAAUAACAUUGAAUAAAUGUCAUUUGUAAAAGGUCUUUCGAUCAGAGUUCGAAAAAAAAGCAUUUCGCCUUGUACUUUAUUUGACCGUAACUUUUUUAUUCGAGCGUCACUGAUGAGUCUAUUGUAGACGAGAC
This 2801-nucleotide long non-coding RNA is filed under the name Mytilus galloprovincialis (Mediterranean mussel). The record is from RNAcentral. Lineage: Eukaryota; Metazoa; Mollusca; Bivalvia; Mytilida; Mytilidae.